This 486-nucleotide ribosomal RNA is filed under the name uncultured bacterium. RNAcentral's name for it is "partial 16S ribosomal RNA". It matches the Rfam family "Bacterial small subunit ribosomal RNA", at positions 30 to 507 of the family's 1533-position model. The record is from RNAcentral.
AUUGAACGCUGGCGGCAUGCCUUACACAUGCCAGUCGAACGGCAGCACGGGUGCUUGCACCUGGUGGCGAGUGGCGAACGGGCGAGUAAUACAUCGGAACAUGUCCUGUAGUGGGGGAUAGCCCGGCGAAAGCCGGAUUAAUACCGCAUACGAUCCACGGAUGAAAGCGGGGGACCUUCGGGCCUCGCGCUAUAGGGUUGGCCGAUGGCUGAUUAGCUAGUUGGUGGGGUAAAGGCCUACCAAGGCGACGAUCAGUAGCUGGUCUGAGAGGACGACCAGCCACACUGGGACUGAGACACGGCCCAGACUCCUACGGGAGGCAGCAGUGGGGAAUUUUGGACAAUGGGCGAAAGCCUGAUCCAGCAAUGCCGCGUGUGUGAAGAAGGCCUUCGGGUUGUAAAGCACUUUUGUCCGGAAAGAAAUCCUUGGCUCUAAUACAGUCGGGGGAUGACGGUACCGGAAGAAUAAGCACCGGCUAACUACGUG